Molecule: ribosomal RNA, 418 nt
Filed under: uncultured bacterium
Lineage: Bacteria
Description: bacterial SSU rRNA
Rfam family: Bacterial small subunit ribosomal RNA
Source: RNAcentral
AGAGUUUGAUCCUGGCUCAGAUUGAACGCUGGCGGCAUGCCUUACACAUGCAAGUCGAACGGCAGCGCGGGGGGUAACUCCUGGCGGCGAGUGGCGAACGGGUGAGUAAUAUAUCGGAACGUGCCCUGGAGUGGGGGAUAACUAGUCGAAAGAUUAGCUAAUACCGCAUACGAUCUACGGAUGAAAGUGGGGGAUUCGCAAGAACCUCAUGCUCGUGGAGCGGCCGAUAUCUGAUUAGCUAGUUGGUAGGGUAAAAGCCUACCAAGGCGACGAUCAGUAGCUGGUUUGAGAGAACGACCAGCCACACUGGGACUGAGACACGGCCCAGACUCCUACGGGAGGCAGCAGUGGGGAAUUUUGGACAAUGGGGGCAACCCUGAUCCAGCAAUGCCGCGUGUGUGAAGAAGGCCUUCGGGUU